AAGCAAGUUAAAAUCAUCGAGCAGCCUAAUGACUGUGUAAGCCAGAAAGAAAAAGUGCUGUGACAGAGGCCAAGUUAGCUAAAGUGAUUGACAUUGGUCUACUUCUAAAGCUAACAUCCGCUUCACAUAGUCCAGCUGGUUGGAAACAGUGCAGCAAAUUGUCAUGAUGGGAAAAAAUUGGUUGUGUCACUUAUGGAACACACCUUACAAAGUUAAUUGUCCUCUUGCUUAUGAAGACAGCACAACAAUGCUUCAUCAGGCAGUUACAGUUCAGAACUUUGGGGUCGCUGAGGGCAGCAGCAACCUGAAACAGAGAACAGCUGACAUGAAGUUGUAACCAAACCUGCUGAUUUCACAUGAGACCAAUUCUUUUAAAUUAUGAAGUACACAAAUUGCAUGUAGUCACAUUUUGAAAUGUCUUUAAUUGGGAAAGAAUUUCUUUUGAACUAGAAAAUAACAAUUAUUAGGUAAUAUGUUCAUUUUGUUCUCUUUAAAAGCUAUUAAAUUUGGUACAUAUUAUGAUAUUUAGCUAUGGGCAAUCCAGUGUUUUGACAAUUACAUGCUACAUAAAACAGGCUGCUGUAUCAUUCUUUUUAUAACUGAAUAGUGUGCAAACCAGUCACUA
Molecule: long non-coding RNA, 625 nt
Organism: Schistocerca gregaria
Lineage: Eukaryota; Metazoa; Arthropoda; Insecta; Orthoptera; Acrididae
Exons: 3
Source: RefSeq, a predicted model, not a curated record